RNAcentral lists this ribosomal RNA (438 nucleotides) under uncultured bacterium. Its description in RNAcentral is "bacterial SSU rRNA". It matches the Rfam family "Bacterial small subunit ribosomal RNA", at positions 100 to 518 of the family's 1533-position model. The record is from RNAcentral.
CACGGGUGGAGUAACGCGUAGAUAACCUGUCUUCAUGUCUGGAAUAAUACGCCGAAAGGGGUACUAAUACCGGAUAUUCUUGCUUUUCAUAAGUUAUGCAAGCAAAGGUGGCCUCUGCAUAUGCUACUGCAUGAAGAGGGGUCUGCGUACCAUUAGCUAGUAGGUGGGGUAAUGGCCUACCUAGGCGACGAUGGUUAGCGGGUCUGAGAGGAUGAUCCGCCACACUGGCACUGGAACACGGGCCAGACUCCUACGGGAGGCAGCAGUGAGGAAUAUUGCGCAAUGGGGGAAACCCUGACGCAGCGACGCCGCGUGAGUGAGGAAGGCCUUCGGGUCGUAAAGCUCUGUCAAGAGGAAAGAAGUGUACAAUGGCUAAUACCUGUUGUAUUUGACGGUACCUCCAAAGGAAGCACCGGCUAACUCCGUGCCAGCCGCCGC